CUAGGGUGGAGGUAGCUUCUCCCAGUAGCUGCUGCGGUGCUGUGUUUUGGAUUCAGAAUGGGAAUGGUGGUGUUUUUGCUAGGCCAUCUUUAUCCUAAGUCAAGGACAUUAUUUCCCCUUGGCUUGUGCUCUGCCAAUGAGGAGGUUCACAAAAGAAACUGGGGGUAAGCAUAGCUGGGAUGGGUGACUUGAACUGACCAAAAGGAAUAUUCCACACCAUAGAACUUCAUGCCAAUAUAUAAACUGAGGGGAGCUACCUGUGCCCAGUCUGGAUUUGGGAAGGGGGGUCUGGCAUCAGUCAACAGGUGGUCAUUCACUCAGAUGAAAAAGAUUCAGAUAUCAAGUAAAGCACUGUUAUAGCUAUCAUCCUCAAAAUGUUAUUGAACAAUUCCAGGUUACAGAGUGUGGUUCUGAACACUGCUACUCAGCAGAGGAUUCACUAUGCA
Molecule: non-coding RNA, 446 nt
Organism: Zonotrichia albicollis (white-throated sparrow)
Lineage: Eukaryota; Metazoa; Chordata; Aves; Passeriformes; Passerellidae
Source: RefSeq, a predicted model, not a curated record